Sander lucioperca (pikeperch) is the source of this 126-nucleotide long non-coding RNA. RefSeq lists it as uncharacterized. The record is from RefSeq and is a predicted model, not a curated record. NCBI's taxonomy places the organism in Eukaryota, Metazoa, Chordata, Actinopteri, Perciformes, Percidae. The transcript has 4 exons.
UUUCUGCCGUUAAACUAGCAAAAGUGCAUUCGUACAUGCCCUAAACGCACCUGCGCCAGGCACUUCACGUUGUGCGCUUAGAUAGUUAAAAAAAGGGCCCAUAAGAACAUUUGUUGCUACAAAGCU